CUUGUUGUUCAAGAGUGACGGGCGAUUUGUGCAUAAGGCUAAACUUUUACAAUAAUGAUUUUUUUCCAUAUUUUUAUUCAAAUCCUAUCUUCUUCCUCUUUCUCUCAAUGAAGCUUCAAUUUUUGUUUCCCAUCUAGGACCCAAUUAUAUUCUUUAUCUUGAUUUGUUAAUUUGUUUCAACUUUUUAAUUAGGAGUUUCUACCUUAUUUCAACAAUGAUAUAAAAAAUAAUAAAUCAGGCUCAUUCGAUCGUGGAUUAUCGAUUACCGGACAGGACCCUCUGAUAAGGGGCCUUACCGCCAUUUCAUUUAAAUUUCCUUUAUUUAAGUACUGUCUCUUAUGUUUUUAUGG
This 350-nucleotide ribosomal RNA is filed under the name Fujianacarus wisterianis. RNAcentral's name for it is "partial small subunit ribosomal RNA". Lineage: Eukaryota; Metazoa; Arthropoda; Arachnida; Trombidiformes; Eriophyidae. The record is from RNAcentral.